GCCUGGGUGGCUCAGUCAGUUAAGCGUCUGACUUCAGCUCAGGUCAUGAUCUUGAGCUUCAUGGGUUCACGCCCCACCUUGGGCU
Molecule: transfer RNA, 85 nt
Filed under: Felis catus (domestic cat)
Lineage: Eukaryota; Metazoa; Chordata; Mammalia; Carnivora; Felidae
Also listed under: 2 other names
Rfam family: tRNA
About the family: Transfer RNA (tRNA) molecules are approximately 80 nucleotides in length.
Source: Rfam by way of RNAcentral